RNAcentral lists this transfer RNA (85 nucleotides) under Felis catus (domestic cat). It matches the Rfam family "tRNA". From Rfam's summary of the family: Transfer RNA (tRNA) molecules are approximately 80 nucleotides in length. Their secondary structure includes four short double-helical elements and three loops (D, anti-codon, and T loops). Further hydrogen bonds mediate the characteristic L-shaped molecular structure. tRNAs have two regions of fundamental functional importance: the anti-codon, which is responsible for specific mRNA codon recognition, and the 3' end, to which the tRNAs corresponding amino acid is attached (by aminoacyl-tRNA synthetases). tRNAs cope with the degeneracy of the genetic code in two manners: having more than one tRNA (with a specific anti-codon) for a particular amino acid; and 'wobble' base-pairing, i.e. permitting non-standard base-pairing at the 3rd anti-codon position. The record is from Rfam by way of RNAcentral. Lineage: Eukaryota; Metazoa; Chordata; Mammalia; Carnivora; Felidae.
GCCUGGGUGGCUCAGUCGGUUAAGCGUCAGACUUCAGCUCAGGUCAUGAUCUUACAGCUCGUGGGUUCGAGCCCCACGUCGGGCU